GAUGAAGAACGCAGCGAAAUGCGAUACUUGGUGUGAAUUGCAGAAUCCCGUGAACCAUCGAGUCUUUGAACGCAAGUUGCGCCCGAAGCCAUUAGGCCGAGGGCACGCCUGCCUGGGUGUCACACGUCGUUGCCCCCCCAUCUACUCCUUCGGGAUUGCGGGGGGCGGAUGAUGGCCUCCCGUGCGCCUCGUCGCGCGGUUGGCAUAAAUGCCAAGUCCUCGGCGACGCACGCCACGACAAUCGGUGGUUGCGAAACCUCGGUUGCCCGUCGUGUGCGGUCGUCGCGCAUCGAGGGCUCGAAAAAAUUGCCGGGCUCCGGCUCGGCUUUCAACGCGACCCCAGGUCAGGCGGGGUUACCCGCUGAAUUUAAGCAUAUCAAUAAGCGGAGA
This 390-nucleotide unclassified non-coding RNA is filed under the name soil metagenome. RNAcentral describes it as "partial contains 5.8S ribosomal RNA, internal transcribed spacer 2, and large subunit ribosomal RNA". The stretch from base 1 to 122 matches the Rfam family "5.8S ribosomal RNA", at positions 35 to 154 of the family's 154-position model. The record is from RNAcentral.